GAUGAACGCUGGCUACAGGCUUAACACAUGCAAGUCGAGGGGCAGCAUGGGGUUUGCUUGCAAACCCCGAUGGCGACCGGCGCACGGGUGAGUAACGCGUAUCCAACCUUCCCGCGACUCGGGUAUAACCUGCCGAAAGGCAGACUAAUCCCCGAUGUCCUCCACUUUGGACAUCUUUUGUGGAGCAAAGGCUUCGGCCGGUUGCGGAUGGGGAUGCGUCCGAUUAGCUUGUUGGCGGGGCAAUGGCCCACCAAGGCUUCGAUCGGUAGGGGUUCUGAGAGGAAGGCCCCCCACAUUGGAACUGAGACACGGUCCAAACUCCUACGGGAGGCAGCAGUGAGGAAUAUUGGUCAAUGGGCGGAAGCCUGAACCAGCCAAGUAGCGUGCAGGAUGACGGCCCUAUGGGUUGUAAACUGCUUUUAUGCGGGGAUAACCGGGGCCACGCGUGGCCCCCUGCAGGUACCGCAUGAAUAAGGACCGGCUAAUUCCGUGCCAGCAGCCGCGGUAAUACGGAAGGUCCGGGCGUUAUCCGGAUUCAUUGGGUUUAAAGGGAGCGUAGGCCGUGGAUUAAGCGUGUUGUGAAAUGUAGGCGCUCAACGUCUGACUUGCAGCGCGAACUGGUCCACUUGAGUGUGCGCGACGCAGGCGGAAUUCGUGGUGUAGCGGUGAAAUGCUUAGAUAUCACGAGGAACCCCGAUUGCGAAGGCAGCUUGCGGGAGCACCACUGACGCUGAGGCUCGAAGGUGCGGGUAUCGAACAGG
This 761-nucleotide ribosomal RNA is filed under the name uncultured Prevotella sp. RNAcentral describes it as "bacterial SSU rRNA". It matches the Rfam family "Bacterial small subunit ribosomal RNA", at positions 28 to 776 of the family's 1533-position model. The record is from RNAcentral. Lineage: Bacteria; Pseudomonadati; Bacteroidota; Bacteroidia; Bacteroidales; Prevotellaceae.